AUGCAAGUCGAGCGGCUGACAGGACUUGCUGCUUGAUUCGUGGGCAGAGGGGUAAGUAAUGCCUAUGAAUCUGCCUCUACUCGGGGGACAACGUUUCGAAAGGAAAACUUAUACCGCAAACGUCCUACAGGAGAAAGCGAGGGACCUUCAGGCCUUGCCCUUUCACAUGAGCCUAAGUCGAAUUAGCUUUUUGGUGGUGUAAUGGCUCACCCCCGCCACGAUCCCUAUCUGGUCUGAGACGAAGAUCAUUCUCACUGGAACUGAAACUGAGACCAGACUCCUACUGGAGGCGGAAGUGGGGAAGAUUGAAAAAGGAGCGAGGGCCUGAUCCUGACCUGCCCCGUGUGUGAGGAAGGUCAUCGGAUUGUAAAUCACUUUCCCUUUUGAUGAAAGGCAAUUCCUUAAGACCUUGCUGUUUUGACGUUGCCGACACAAUAAGCACCGGCUAACUCUGUGCCAGCGCCCGCGGUAAUACAAAGGGUGCAGGCGUUAAUCUUAAUUACAGUUACUGAACCUCGCGUAUGUGGUUUGUUAAGUUUAAUGUGAAUGCCCCGGUCUCAACGUGAGAAGCUGCAUGCUAAAAGUGGGCAAGCUAGAGUACUAGUAGAGUGGUGGUGGUAUUUCGUGUGUAGCUGAGAAGUGUAGUAGAUAUAGGAAAGAACACCAGUGGAGAAGGGCGACCACGUGGACUGAUAGUGACAGUGAGGUGAGAGAGCGUGGGGAGCACACAGGAUUAGAUACCGGUAGUAGUACACGCUGUAAGCGAUGUCAACUAGCCGUUGGACUCCUUGAGAUGCUAGUGGCGCAGCUAACGCAUUAAGUUGACGCCUUGGGGAGUACGUCCGCAAGGUUAAAAUUCAAAUGAAUUGACGGGGGCCGGCACAAGCGGUGGAGCAUGUGGUUUAAUUGGAAGCAACGGGAGGACCUUACCCAGCCCUUGCCAUGCAGAGAACUUUCCAAAGAUGGAUUGGUGCUUUGGGGAAUUGAAACCCAGGUGUGCCAUGGCGUUGUUCAGUUGGUUUCUUGAGAUGUUGGGUUAAGUCCGCAAACGAGCCCACCCUUUUUCUUUAGUUACCACCAGUUUUUGGUGGGCAUUUUAAGGAGACGGCCGGGGACAAACCGGAGGAAGGUGGGGAGGAGGUCAAUUCUUCAUGGCCCUUAGGGCAUGGGUUCCACACUUGUUCCAAUGGUGGGUACAGAGGGUGCACAAGCCGGGAGGUGGAGCUAUUCUCACAAAACCGUUUCUAUUCCGGAUGGCGUUUUGAAAUUGGAUUGCGGGAAUUGGGAAUCGUUGGUAUUGCAGAUUCAGAAUGUCGCGGUGAAUACGUUCCCGGGCCUUGUACACACCGCCCGUCACACCAUGGGAGUGGGUUGCUACUCAGAAGCAGGUAGUUUAACCUUCGGGAGGACG
Molecule: ribosomal RNA, 1411 nt
Filed under: Pseudomonas sp.
Lineage: Bacteria; Pseudomonadati; Pseudomonadota; Gammaproteobacteria; Pseudomonadales; Pseudomonadaceae
Description: bacterial SSU rRNA
Rfam family: Bacterial small subunit ribosomal RNA
Source: RNAcentral